This 1146-nucleotide long non-coding RNA is filed under the name Homo sapiens (human). RNAcentral's name for it is "HSALNT0093151". The record is from RNAcentral. Lineage: Eukaryota; Metazoa; Chordata; Mammalia; Primates; Hominidae.
GCUGUGCAGAAGCUCUUUAGUUUAAUUAGAUCCCAUCAGUCAAUUUUGGCUUUUGUUGCCAUUGCUUUUGGUGUUUUAGACAUGAAGUCCUUGCCCAUGCCUAUGGCCUGAAUGGUAUUGCCUAGGUUUCCUCCUAGGGUUUUUAUGGUUUUAGGUCUAAUUUUUAAGUCUUUAAACUAUCUUGAAUUAAUUUUUGUAUAAGGUGUAAGGAAGGGAUCCAGUUUCAGCUUUCUACAUAUGGCUAGCCUGUUUUCCCAGCAACAUUUAUUAAAUAGGGAAUCCUUUCCCCAUUUCUUGUUUUUGUCAGGUUUGUCAAAGAUCAGAUGGUUGUAGAUGUGUGGUAUUAUUUCCAAGGGCUGUACUCUGUUCCAUUGGUCUAUAUCUCUGUUUUGGUACCAGUACCAUGCUGUUUUGGUUACUGUAGCCUUGUAGUAUAGUUUGAAGUCCGGUAAUGUGAUGCUUCCAGCUUUGUUCUUUUUGCUUAGGAUUGACUUGGCAAUGAGGGCUCUUUUUUGGUUCCAUAUGAACUUUAAAGUAGUUUUUUCCAAUUCUGUGAAGAAAGUCAUUGGUAGUUUGAUGGGGAUGGCAUUGAAUCUAUAAAUUACCUUGGGCAGUAUGGCCAUUUUCAUGAUAUCGAUUCUUCCUAUUCAUGAGCAUGGAAUGUUCUUCCAUUUGUUUGUGUCCUCUUUCAUUUCGUUGAGCAGUGGUUUGUAGUUCUCCUUGAAGAGGUCCUUCACAUCCCUUGUAAGCUGGAUUCCUAGGUAUUUUAUUCUCUUUGAAGCAAUUGUGAAUGGGAGUUCACUCGUCAUUUGGAUCUCUGUUUGUUAUUGGCGUAUAGGAAUGCCUGUGAUUUUUGCACACUGAUUUUGUAUCCUAAGACUUUGCUGAAGUUGCUUAUCAGCUUAAGGAGAUUUUGGGCUGAGACAAUGGGGUUUUCUAAAUAUACAAUCAUCUCAUCUGCAAACAGGGAAAAUUUGACUUCUUCUUUUCCUAACUGAAUACCCUUUAUUUCUUUCUCUUUCCUGCUUGGCCUGGCCAGAACUUCCAACACUAUGCUGAACAGGAAAUUGGAAAAACUACUUUAAAGUUCAUAUGGAACCAAAAAAGAGCCCUCAUUGCCAAGUCAAUCCUGAGCAAAAAGAACAA